Molecule: transfer RNA, 84 nt
Filed under: Toxocara canis (dog roundworm)
Lineage: Eukaryota; Metazoa; Nematoda; Chromadorea; Rhabditida; Toxocaridae
Rfam family: tRNA
About the family: Transfer RNA (tRNA) molecules are approximately 80 nucleotides in length.
Source: Rfam by way of RNAcentral
GAUCAGGUGGCCGAGUGGUUAAGGCGAUGGACUGCUAAUCCAUUGGGGUUUUUCCCUGCGUGAGUUCGAAUCUCAUCCUGAUCG